This 56-nucleotide transfer RNA is filed under the name Poecilia formosa (Amazon molly). It matches the Rfam family "tRNA", at positions 1 to 54 of the family's 71-position model. From Rfam's summary of the family: Transfer RNA (tRNA) molecules are approximately 80 nucleotides in length. Lineage: Eukaryota; Metazoa; Chordata; Actinopteri; Cyprinodontiformes; Poeciliidae. The record is from Rfam by way of RNAcentral.
GAUCCUGUAGUGUAGUGGUUAUCAUGUUUGCUUUACAUGCAAAAGGUCGCUGGUUC